UUUUAGCCCUGAUAGUAGCGGAAAUCCUUUUUCUGGCUCUUUUAGCAAGGAAAAGAUUGUAACGAAUUGCUUCGCCAGUU
This 80-nucleotide small RNA is filed under the name Flavobacterium psychrophilum. Its description in RNAcentral is "Flavo-1 RNA". It matches the Rfam family "Flavo-1 RNA". The record is from RNAcentral. RNAcentral also lists the same sequence under 2 other names. Lineage: Bacteria; Pseudomonadati; Bacteroidota; Flavobacteriia; Flavobacteriales; Flavobacteriaceae.